AGAGUUUGAUCAUGGCUCAGAUUGGACGCUGGCGGCAGGCCUAACACAUGCAAGUCGAGCGGUAGAGAGAAGCUUGCUUCUCUUGAGAGCGGCGGACGGGUGAGUAAUGCCUAGGAAUCUGCCUGGUAGUGGGGGAUAACGUCCGGAAACGGACGCUAAUACCGCAUACGUCCUACGGGGGAAAGCAGGGGACCUUCGGGCCUUGCGCUAUCAGAUGAGCCUAGGUCGGAUUAGCUAGUUGGUGGGGCAAUGGCUCACCAAGGCGACGAUCCGUAACUGGUCUGAGAGGAUGAUCAGUCACACUGGAACUGAGACACGGUCCAGACUCCUACGGGAGGCAGCAGUGGGGAAUAUUGGACAAUGGGCGAAAGCCUGAUCCAGCCAUGCCGCGUGUGUGAAGAAGGUCUUCGGAUUGUAAAGCACUUUAAGUUGGGAGGAAGGGCAGUAAAUUAAUACUUUGCUGUUUUGACGUUACCGACAGAAUAAGCACCGGCUAACUCUGUGCCAGCAGCCGCGGUAAUACAGAGGGUGCAAGCGUUAAUCGGAAUUACUGGGCGUAAAGCGCGCGUAGGUGGUUCGUUAAGUUGGAUGUGAAAUCCCCGGGCUCAACCUGGGAACUGCAUUCAAAACUGACGAGCUAGAGUAUGGUAGAGGGUGGUGGAAUUUCCUGUGUAGCGGUGAAAUGCGUAGAUAUAGGAAGGAACACCAGUGGCGAAGGCGACCACCUGGACUGAUACUGACACUGAGGUGCGAAAGCGUGGGGAGCAAACAGGAUUAGAUACCCCGGUAGU
Molecule: ribosomal RNA, 791 nt
Filed under: uncultured bacterium
Lineage: Bacteria
Description: bacterial SSU rRNA
Rfam family: Bacterial small subunit ribosomal RNA
Source: RNAcentral